AGUGAACGCUGGCGGCAGGCCUAAUACAUGCAAGUCGAACGGCAGCACAGUGGAGCUUGCUCCAUGGGUGGCGAGUGGCGGACGGGUGAGGAAUACAUGGGAAUCUGCCCAGUCGUGGGGGAUAACGUAGGGAAACUUACGCUAAUACCGCAUGCGCCCUUCGGGGAAAGCCGGGGACCGUAAGGCCUGGCGCGAUUGGAUGAGCCCAUGUUCGAUUAGCUAGUUGGCGGGGUAAAGGCCCACCAAGGCGACGAUCGAUAGCUGGUCUGAGAGGAUGAUCAGCCACACUGGAACUGAGACACGGUCCAGACUCCUACGGGAGGCAGCAGUAGGGAAUAUUGGACAAUGGGGGCAACCCUGAUCCAGCCAUGCCGCGUGAGUGAAGAAGGCCCUCGGGUUGUAAAGCUCUUUUGUCCGGAAAGAAAAGCAAUCGGUUAAUACCCGGUUGUUCUGACGGUACCGGAAGAAUAAGCACCGGCUAACUUCGUGCCAGCAGCCGAC
This 501-nucleotide ribosomal RNA is filed under the name uncultured bacterium. RNAcentral's name for it is "bacterial SSU rRNA". It matches the Rfam family "Bacterial small subunit ribosomal RNA", at positions 29 to 518 of the family's 1533-position model. The record is from RNAcentral.